AGGGAAAGCACCAUGAGAAGAUGACGGCAGAGAUCUGGGCGACGCGUCUACAAGCCAAGCGACACCAAAGGUGGCCAGCAGCCCAUGUGAAGCUGGAGGAGAGGCCUCGAAUAAAUGCUCCCUUACAGCGUUCAGGGGGAACUGACCCUGUCCACACCUUGACCUUGAACUUCUGGGCUCCAGAACUGUGAGACAGCAUGUUCUGUUGUUGAAGAUACAACGGUGGAAUAAAAUAUCUUCCAGCCAACAUAUUUUUUGGAGACGGAAUCUCACUCUGUCACCUGGUUGAAGUGCAGCAGCGCGAUCAUGGCUCACUGCAACCUCUGCCUCCCGGUUUCAAGUGAUUCUCCUGCCUCCGCCUCCCGAGUAGCUGGGAUUACAGGCAUGUGCCACCCACCACGCCUGGGUAAUUUUUGUAUUUUUACUAGAGACAGGGUUUCACUAUGUGGGCUGGGCUGGUCUCAAACUCCUGACCUCUGGUGAUCUGCCCACUUCGGCCUCUCAAAGUGCUGGGAUUACAGGCAUGAGCCCCCGCACCCGGUUGCAACCAACUUUUUUGUGGAAUAUAGGAUCUUGAUGUUUGGAUGCCUGAAGGCAGAAGCUGUUGCACAUGGAAUGGAUUAAAGUUUUCCCCUCUGCAACCAAAAAUCCUUGGGGUCCCAGGAGCAAAAGAUGCUCCAUGGCACAGGACAAUUCAAGAAGGCCCGAGGUGAUAUUGAAGACUGCAGAGACAUCCAGCUCAGUUGUGUCUCCGGAGGUGUCCAGACUUUGCAGACAGACGUUGCACAUAAAGAGCUGAAAAACUGAGGAAGCUGAGCUGGAGAAGGAAGUCACUUCUACUCAGACUUGACCUGCGUCUGAUGCUAUGGGGCCUCUUAGGGUUACCUCAUGCUUCAUGCACCCCUUUCUCUGUUCUUCAGCAGAAGGCAGGGUGUAGGGAAGCGGGACUGUGCCUCCUUUCUCCCUGCCAGGCCUGACUCUCCAGGCCAAGAGACACCAUUAAGGAGUAUAAUUUGUUGAUCCAGGCUCUCCUUGCGUUUCAGUGCAGAGUGGCAUCGUUUUCUUUAUGACCUCGUAAAGUCACAGCCGAGAGGCCGAUUUGGAAAACAAACUGCCUCAGGUUGACAGAUAAUUAGAUACAGGGGACAUAUUAUAUGCCUUUGCAUAUAAAUGUGCUCCGAGGCGUGUUGGUUCAUCUGAAGUUGAGGUUAAAGGCGCGCCAGCAGGAUCUUGGCAGUGGACUGCCACGGGAGCUCUGGGGAAAAAGGACCAGUUGGACUCCAGUACCUCCUGAGAGACCACCACCCUCCAUGCCUCCAGCUCAUGCCCAGCUCUGAGUCAGACGGACUCUUCCUGUUGUACUGCGAGGUUCUGCAAACCUUGAAGGGCAAACACAGUGAGGGUCUCUGACUUGCUGUGUGGACAGCCCACUCUCUGACAGCCCAGAUCAUCUGAAGCUAUCCCUGGGCUGGGAGCUGGAAGCCAUUCUUGUGAACCACUCCUUAUACCUUGAGCGAAGCCUCUUUGGGUCCCAGAAGUCUGAAGCUCCAGCUGCCUGGCAAGACUGAGUCUAGAUGAUUUCUUGGGUACCAGUAGUUUGGCAUUUAAAAAUACUGGAUUAACUGCAGUGUAAACUUAGAUUGCAUUUCAGAUUGUAAACAAUAACCCCCGUGCUUCAUGUGAUGUUAAAUCAGAAAUGAGCUAUUAGCCAAGCUAGUCCUCUUAUGAAUGAGCCCCUAACCCUGAUCCAGGGAUCGUUGAAUGAAAAUCAUCAAAAUGAUUUAUCUUCACUUUACCUAUUGUCUCACAAGAAUCUCAUCACUCAGGGAAAAGGAGGGUGUUCUUCAGGGAACGGAGGGCAUGAGGAAGGGGGAUUUCCUUAUAUCUCAACUUUCAGAGGGAGCUGAGUUGUAAACAGAUGGAACAAGGUGUGUACGAGAAGCCUCUUAGAUUUAGUCUUUCAUAUCAAGGCUCUUGCUGAAAAUCCUGGCACAGCUGUGAAAUGAGGGGAGCUCUGACACACAGAGACACGCUCCUUGCCUCACCAACCUUCCCAUACACAGUCAUGCGCACAGAGAGCAGGUACCAAUACUGAAAAUGCCCUUCCGGAGUUUCCUCAGCUUAAACCCUUGACAGCAUUAAGUGAGGAAGGAGUUUCCUUGACCUGGGGAAGAAGAACCAACUCAUAAACAUGGAACUGUGCCCACUGCCUUUUCCUUUGCUCUGUGGAUUGGCUGUGGUUCUGCCCUGGCACUCGGAUGUCAAGUUGCUCUGGCUGUUUGGGAGGAAGCCCAGCCUGGGUCAGGUGGUCAUAAGCCAGAGGCCCUGUCCUGUCCCCAGGGUUGGCCUCCCUCUGGGGUCCAGCAUGGCCCCAGUGCUGAGGCUCCCACUGCUGGGGAAUGUGCCCUCUCCUCUCUUUGUUUCCAUACCAAGGGGAUCUGCAGGGUAGAGGGCAAAUUAUUCUUAGCAGAUUGGGGCUAUGGGUAAACCAGAAGGGAUGAGGGAGAGAGGAGAGAGGAGAGGAAAGGGAAGGAGAGGGGAGGGCAGGGGAUAGGUAGAGGAGAGAGACAGCAAGAAAAAAUAG
Molecule: long non-coding RNA, 2584 nt
Filed under: Homo sapiens (human)
Lineage: Eukaryota; Metazoa; Chordata; Mammalia; Primates; Hominidae
Description: lncAB544.1
Source: RNAcentral